Schistocerca serialis cubense is the source of this 152-nucleotide long non-coding RNA. RefSeq lists it as uncharacterized. The transcript has 3 exons. The record is from RefSeq and is a predicted model, not a curated record. Lineage: Eukaryota; Metazoa; Arthropoda; Insecta; Orthoptera; Acrididae.
AUAACGUCUGCCAUCUGUAUUACGACCUCUGUGUGGACUGUUCUCUAGCACGAAAACGCCAGGACGUCCUAAAGUACCGCAAGCUGUGCCGGCGGUGUUCCACGGACGCGGCGGCGGCCGCCGGCCUCGCCAAGAGGCAGCACGCGUGCAGG